AGUGAACGCUGGCGGCAGGCUUAACACAUGCAAGUCGAACGGGCAUCCUCGGAUGUUAGUGGUAGACGGGUGAGUACCACGUGGGAACGUACCCUUCGGUUCGGAAUAACUCAGGGUAACUUGAGUUCAUACCGGCUACGCUCUUUUGGGGUAAGGUUUACUGCCGAAGGAUUCGCUCGUGUCUGAUUAUCUUGCUGGCGCGGUAACGGCCUACCAAGGCGACGAACAGUAUCUGGGCUGAGAGGAUUAACAGAGACACUGGGGCUGAGACACGGCAGAGACUCCUACGGGAGGGAGCAGUGGGGAAUAGAGGAAAAUGGGCGCAAGGCUGAACCAGCCAUGACGCGUGAGUGAUGAAGGCAGUAAGGUAGUAAAGCUCAUUUAACCAGGACGAUAAUGACGGUACCGGAAGAAUAAGCCCCGGCUAACUUCGUG
RNAcentral lists this ribosomal RNA (435 nucleotides) under uncultured bacterium. RNAcentral's name for it is "partial 16S ribosomal RNA". It matches the Rfam family "Bacterial small subunit ribosomal RNA", at positions 29 to 507 of the family's 1533-position model. The record is from RNAcentral.